Molecule: ribosomal RNA, 929 nt
Filed under: Arthrobacter tumbae
Lineage: Bacteria; Bacillati; Actinomycetota; Actinomycetes; Micrococcales; Micrococcaceae
Description: bacterial SSU rRNA
Rfam family: Bacterial small subunit ribosomal RNA
Source: RNAcentral
UYUUUGGGGUCUCUUUUUGAUGCAGUCAACRAUGAUCUCCAGCUUGCUGGGGGGAUUAGUGGCGAACGGGUGAGUAACACGRGRGUAACCUGCCCUUGACUCUGGGAUAAGCCUGGGAAWCUGGGUCUAAUACUGGAUACGACCUUCCAUCGCAUGGUGGUUGGUGGAAAGCUUUUGUGGUUUUGGAUGGACUCGCGGCCUAUCAGCUUGUUGGUGGGGUAAUGGCCUACCAAGGSGACGACGGGUAGCCGGCCUGAGAGGGUGGACGGCCACACUGGGACUGAGACACGGCCCAGACUCCUACGGGAGGCAGCAGUGGGGAAUAUUGCACAAUGGGCGCAAGCCUGAUGCAGCGACGCCGCGUGAGGGAUGAAGGCCUUCGGGUUGUAAACCUCUUUCAGUAGGGAAGAAGCGAAAGUGACGGUACCUGCAGAAGAAGCGCCGGCUAACUACGUGCCAGCAGCCGCGGUAAUACGUAGGGCGCAAGCGUUAUCCGGAAUUAUUGGGCGUAAAGAGCUCGUAGGCGGUUUGUCGCGUCUGCCGUGAAAGUCCGGGGCUUAACCCCGGAUCUGCGGUGGGUACGGGCAGACUUGAGUGAUGUAGGGGAGACUGGAAUUCCUGGUGUAGCGGUGAAAUGCGCAGAUAUCAGGAGGAACACCGAUGGCGAAGGCAGGUCUCUGGGCAUUAACUGACGCUGAGGAGCGAAAGCAUGGGGAGCGAACAGGAUUAGAUACCCUGGUAGUCCAUGCCGUAAACGUUGGGCACUAGGUGUGGGGGACAUUCCACGUUUUCCGCGCCGUACYKAMGCAUUAAGUGCCCCGCCUGGGGAGUACGGCCGCAAGGCUAAAACUYAAAGGAAUUGACGGUGGCCCGCACAAGCRGCGGAGCAUGCGGAUUAWUUCGAUGCAACGCGAARAACCUUWACCAAA